RNAcentral lists this long non-coding RNA (2379 nucleotides) under Sus scrofa (pig). RNAcentral describes it as "lncRNA (ENSSSCG00065051818.1)". Lineage: Eukaryota; Metazoa; Chordata; Mammalia; Artiodactyla; Suidae. The record is from RNAcentral.
GGGGCGGUCUCAGCAGCCGGCUGUGAUGAGAAGCGGGCAGUCAGGCUGCCUGGAGGGAAUCUGGGCGGCUGGCCAUUGUCUGUGAAGGGGCAGCCUGACAGCAGCUGGAGGACGUGCACCCGGAGCAGACGCUCCCCGGGGGCCGGAUCAGGAGCAGCUCCCACGCUCCACCUGCCGCAGAGAGGCUGGCAAAACUCUGGGGCUUCCUCUCUCCUGCAGAGAGAGCACCGGCAGGUUCAGAGUCUGGCCACCCUCUCUCGGGCCCCGCCGAGAUCUGGGGAGAGCCGGGGGCCUCAAGCGGAUGUGUCCUGAGAGAUUGUCCUCAAGCCCUUGGAUGGAGGUUUCAGCCAAACUCCCCACCAGUGGUGGGUCAGCGACGGCAGGUCAGCCCAGGUCCUUACUUGCAGAAGGAAGGCAGCCAUUCAGGCUGCUGUAGGAACCAGCAGGUGGGAGGGUGGUGACGGAGACCAGCUGGAUCCUGAGGCCAGCUCAUCACUCCCCAAGGAUGCAGCCUUUGGGGGGAUGGUUUGUGCCCUCCCCUGUAAAAUGGGCAUAGAUCAGGGAGUAUGUAGACAUGAAGGGGGCUGAUACUGGCACAUAGCAAACGCUCGCUGCCUGGAGGACAGACCCCCGGUCUCAAAGCUUGUUCCAUGACCGAGUUAGAGGAAGAAGGAAUCCUUUGCAGCCCAGCACUGUGUCCUCUGAUAAGCCUGGUCCCCUGGGCGUUGAGAAGACACGGGGUGGAGCGAAGGGAAAAGGUUAGACCCAGCUGGAGGACACGGUCAUGGAGCCGUGAGAGGUAAUGUUUGACUCUAGGAGUUCCCGUCAUGGCGCAGCAGAAAUGAAUCCAACUAGGAACCAUGAGGUUGCAGGUGCAAUCCCUGGCCUCGAUCAGUGGGUUAAGGAUCUGGCAUUGCUGUGAGCUGUGGUGUAAGUCACAGAUGCAGCUUGGAUCUGGUGUUUCUGUGGCUGUGGUGUAGGCUGGCGGCUGCAGCUCCGAUUUGACCCCUAGCCUGGGAACCUCCAUAUGCCGUGUGGCCCUAAAAAGACCAAAAGACAAAAAAAAAAAAAAGAAAAGUGUUUGACUCUCCACUUAGGAAUUUUGAAUAAUGGGUUUUCUUAGACAUACAUCGCACAAGAACCUACAAAUUUCAGCAGGGAGGUAAAUCUGAGCAUGAGGAGAUUCAGCCUCAAACCUUCCCAGCUACAAAGCUUCCUCUUGAAACAUAAGCUUUUUCCUCCAGCUCAUUUCAUGCUGGUUUUCCAAGUGGGGACAGGCAUGGGUACCCCAUAGCAGAGCUGACCCGAGGUAGAUGGCUGGUGGACAGUGAGGAAGAAUGCCACGGGGCAGCCAAGAAGACUGUGUCAUCCUGCCAUGGGACUUGUGGUGUAACCGGGCACACGGGCCUGUCAACAAGAACGCGGGCCAUGAAAUUUCACCGGAGGCUCUUGCCGAGAAAUGAAGAAGGGACAGCAGAGGGCUUAUGAGUUAGAUGGACAGGCAUCUGGACAAUCCAUGUCACCACAACCAAGAAAAAUGCUUUGCUUAAUUUGAGGACACCCUAAAAGGCCAAAACAUGGAACAAAACUAUCUCUGGUAGCCCCCAAAUUCGCGCAGGUGUGCCGCUGAGUGUGCUUUACGGCGCUGUUAUUCAUUUUUUAAAAACGGGGAAAGAAAGACCCUGUGACUGUCUUCCUAGGUGUGAAGCGCGAGGACUGGCACUGGUCCCCAGUCCACAUUUCAGAGAACGGCCACUGGCUCUGUCCCACCAGCCACCCGGCCUGACAGCGCAUCCUCCAGCCGAUGCUAUUAUAGAAGGACUCCCCUUCUCAUCUUCAUUUAACACCGUGCAAGAUAGACAUCCUUGUCCUUUGCUAAAUUGAAGGGAAGAAAACCUUUUCUUGGCUUACAUCCUUUCAGUAACUUUCUACUGAGCACCUACUGCCUGCCAGACGAUAAAGCAAGAAAUAACACACGGCUUUACCUUCAGAAACCUCACAAUAUUGCGGGGGAAUAAAAAAAAAAAAAGAAAUUAUGUCAAGACGAUAGUGAGCCAGGUUUUCAGUGUUGACAGGGAAGGGGGCUCCUAACCAGCGGCCACGGAGGGGGACCAACAGGGGCACGACGUCUUGGGAAAGUCUCCUUGAAGGAGCCGAUGCCUUCGAGUCUCUUUCAUCGCCGGCGAAGGGGAUCUAUUUGAGCAAAGUUAGGAAUUCACACAACCCUGCCACGCAUCAGAGCAGGAGGAAAACAUUUCCAAUUAUCUCUCCUGCUUAAGCACCCCAUGCUGUUACACCUGGGGUCCUCAGGACUUAUUUUAAUAAACCCUUUUCCAUUUUGAACAUGCACUCGAUGAAAGUUAAUUAAAAGGGUGUAAA